This is a long non-coding RNA of Canis lupus familiaris (dog), 1365 nucleotides long. RefSeq lists it as uncharacterized. NCBI's taxonomy places the organism in Eukaryota, Metazoa, Chordata, Mammalia, Carnivora, Canidae. The record is from RefSeq and is a predicted model, not a curated record. The transcript has 3 exons.
UGCGGCGCCCUGCAGGCCCGGGCCUAACUGCUCAUCCUUCCCACCCCCGACCCUCCCACCUCGGGGCCACCGACCCAGGCGCCGGGCAGGGAAAGCUCGGAGGCCCCAGCGCCUGUAACCGAACCACCUUGUACCUCCGGCAUCACCCGCGGCCCGAGCGAAAGCGCAACCACCAUUCAGGCUUCCCAGGAAGCAAGGCUGCGAGCAGUUAACAUGGGCCUAGGAGUGGAACCUUCCAGAAGCCCACACUCACUCCACCCCCUGGGCACUGGGGCUUCUGGGACACCCUGGAAAUGAGAGGUGUGAGGACCGGGAGGACCCCUCGGGUGAGGAACACCCUCCGUGAUAACAGUCGUGUCCGGUUCACUGGGGGGGGGGGCUACGCUCAAGCGUGAAUGAAGUCCCACAAACGGCCGUGAGGAGCCUGCGGCGUCCACCCGGCACCCAGGCUCCCUGGUUCAGCUGCUGUCGCCUCUGGCCCUUCCCGACAAAUGCUCCGCAGGUGAACCUCCAUCACAUCUACUUUUGGGGGCAACUGUACGGCCAGUACGUACCAUCUCAUUUGACACUCCUAAGCACCCUGUAAGGCUGGAGCCUUGGGAGUGCCUGGAGGGCCCUGGAAGCUCGGCCGCCCCCCAGAGUCCCACAGCAGAAUCAGAGCAGCUCAGCCGGGCACCCGGAGACCCUCCUCUUUCCAAGUGGAAACGAAAAGGUCAAUAGUAACCGUCAUCAGCAUCAUCCCGUUUACCUCCUCGGAGAAGCGGCGGUGCCCAGACGACACCCCCGACCCUCAACACGGCUUACAUAUGGGAGGACAGAAUUAAAAGCAGGUGGAAGAGAGCGAGAGGUCAACGAUACUUCCCCAGCCAGCGGUGGGCUCGAAAGGACUCGAGACGGUCAAAGACUUGACUUGUGCCUGGUCUAUUAAACCUACCUACCGGCAGGCUGCUCGUCCUCUCCAGGUUUACAGAUAAUCCUCAUUAAAACAUUAUCAAGUACUCAUAAUCACUUUGUCACAAGUAACAUGGCAAAAUUAUGUUGGAACAUUUAAAUGGCUAGAUUUCAAAACUACUCAACUUUUAUUAGAGUUUACAGAUUUUUUUCAUUGGGACAUUAAACAGCACAAGAAGACGUGUUUAGAAAUAAGCCCUAACAUCUGUUGAGCAGUGGUAGCUGACAAAAAUUUUUUUAAGUUUAUUUGAUUUGGAAAGGGUUUCGGGGGCUGACAGCUUAAAUGCAUUUCAUGUGUCCCAGAAAAUACGGCUAAGUGUUUACCACAUGGUUUGUUUCUAAGCAACUAAGUAAACAUUCACUAAAAAAAAAAAAAAAAAAAAAAAAAAAAAAAUCUCAGAUACAUGUGCUCCU